AGGGACUACAAGGGUUUCUAAUCCCGUUUGCUCCCCUAGCUUUCGUGCAUCAGCGUCAGAAAAGACCCAGUGAGCCGCUUUCGCCACGGGUGUUCCUUACGAUAUCAACGCAUUUCACCGCUCCACCGUAAGUUCCGCUCACCUCUAUCUCCCUCGAGCACGAUAGUUUUGGGCGCAGUUCCUCGGUUGAGCCGAGGUAUUUCACACCCAACUUUUCGCGCCGCCUACGCACCCUUUAAGCCCAGUAAUUCCGAAUAACGUUCGUGAGGCUCGUCUUACCGCGGCGGCUGGCAC
RNAcentral lists this unclassified non-coding RNA (294 nucleotides) under uncultured fungus. RNAcentral's name for it is "sequence contains ITS1". Lineage: Eukaryota; Fungi. The record is from RNAcentral.